AAAAAAGAAGAAGAAGAAAGAAAGAAAAAAGGAAAAGAAAAGAGAGAAAAAAAAAGGAGGGAACAAAAUUGAAAUAUCGCGCUGUCAAUGAACGAUGCAAUUUCAUUCUCGAUCGAGAAAGUCUCGUAAUGGUGAUUUAAAUAAACACGAUGAAUAUCGUGUCGUGGAAUGAAACGAAGGAAGAAAGUCGAUGACGAGAUACGCUUUGCAAGAUCGAGAGAGUGCGAGAGAGAGAGAGAGAGAGAGAGAGCUAAGCACGAAAAAAGAUCGCGAUCUUUGCCGUGUAAGUAUGUAAAUAGAUAUGCAUGUUGGUUCGUAACUACGUAUGCAUAUAUAUAUAUAUGUACAUAUGUAAGGUAUAAAUGUAUCGGCGUACGCGAUGUAUACGGUCUAUACGUGUACAAUGACGUAGUGAGAAUUAUCGCGUAUGAAUGUGGAGCAUUAUCGGCGGUAAACCAAUCGAAGAGAAAUCGUGUGCGUUUAUGUGUUACUACGCGACUCUCGCGACCGGCUCGAUCAACCGAACGAACGCGUGAAUGGAACUGGUGUGUUGUUGUUGUGUAGUGGUAGUGGUAGUGGUAGUAGUGGUAGAGUAGUAGUAGUAGUAGCAGUAGUAUGGUGGUGGUAGUGGUAAUGGUGGUGGUGGAGUGCUGAAGCUAGAAGGAAAAAAUAUGAAUGAAGUCGUGGUAGUGACAGUCGCGUACGUACGGGCUUUACGUUCUUAACGCGCAUGCGUCCUGACGUAACGCACGUAGCACGUGCAUCGUUCCGUGCCAUUCAGCGUGAACGCGUAAUGCUAUGCACGACACGACUACUUACAACGACGGACGGCUACACAACGACAAUGACGAUGACGACGACGACGACGACGAUAACGAUAACGACGACGACGACGACAACGACGACAACGACGAUGAUCGUCGAAGGUGAGAUCGAUGCAAAACUACCGACACGAAUACUUACGACGAUCAACUUUGAUGAUAUCUAUACACAACACCACACCCAAGACCAAGAUCAACGUAGACGACAACGACGAUUGCGAAUUAUGUCGACGUAAAAGUUUAACGUUGCAUUGGUAAUACGUAGACGAGUGAUAUAACAAAGGAUAAACUGUGCCUGUGUGAUACACUAAUGUUCGAAAUAUUCUGACAAUAAUAGGACAACUCGAAUGAUUAUAGAAUAUCUAGAAUCUAAGAGUGACCGUAUCGUUGAAGUAUGAGAAAGAGAGAUACGAUAGAAAACAUUCAAUUAAUAAAUUUAUCAUAAAUAGGUGAGGAAUUUGUUCUUAAUUCAUAUAAUCACAAAUUAUUUGAUAUACAUACGUAGAUAUUUAAUAAUUAUAAAUAUAUACUUGAUCAUGUCUUAAAGGAUAAUAAAUAAUUUUCUUAGUGGUUUCUCUUACGAGACAUCGACCGGUAGAGUUAUCUCUUCGUCUACGAAGUAAAGGAAAAUCGAUGGGGGAUAGUAGACGGCAUGGGAAGUCGAGGUAGACUUCCUAAGCGGGGAAUCAUCGAGGGAGGAAGCCCAUCCGUCCGGAGGGGCUUUCACAAAACCCUAUUCACUGGAUAAAUGAAUGAAGAUGAAAAAGAAAAAAAGAGAGAGAGAGACAGACAGAGACAGAGACAGAUAUAUAUAUAUAUAUAUAUAUGUAUAUGUAUAUAUGGACAGAUAGAUAAAGAUAGAUAGAUAGAUAGAUAGAUAGAGAGAGAAAGAGAGAAAGAAAAAAAAACCGAGCAAAACACACGACCCAUAAUUUAAUUAUAAUUAACUUCCGUCGAUAUAUUACAUUAUAUAAUUCAAUCGUGCCCACGCAAUAACGCUCCUUUUCCGGCAUAACUUGACUCGCCUGGUAUUAACGCGUGGAGGAGUUAGAAAGAGAAAGAGAAAGAAAGAAAGAAAGAAAGAAAGAAAGAAAGGAAGAAAGAAAGAAUAGAUGAAGUAGUUCAAGAAACAUGUAAUAUACACGUCAACGAGUUUUUGUUAAUCCUUUUAAACGAAAUUAAUUAUGCGUACUUAAAUAAUAUGAAAUAUUACUUUCAAGUGUAUCUAUAAAGUUUA
Molecule: unclassified non-coding RNA, 2058 nt
Organism: Vespa mandarinia (Asian giant hornet)
Lineage: Eukaryota; Metazoa; Arthropoda; Insecta; Hymenoptera; Vespidae
Source: RefSeq, a predicted model, not a curated record